RNAcentral lists this ribosomal RNA (1359 nucleotides) under Triticum aestivum (bread wheat). Its description in RNAcentral is "partial small subunit ribosomal RNA". Lineage: Eukaryota; Viridiplantae; Streptophyta; Magnoliopsida; Poales; Poaceae. The record is from RNAcentral.
AUGGCGGAGGACGGCGAGAAGGCGGCGGCGGCGGUGGGAGGUGUCGCGGGUGGAGCGGGAGAGGCGGAGCAGGAGCGGGAGGAGCAGAGCGUGAAGCUGUUCGUGGGGCAGGUGCCCAAGCACAUGACGGAGGCGGAGCUGGCCGCCAUGUUCAAGGACGUCGCCCUCGUCGACGAGGUCACCGUCAUCAAGGACAAGGCCACCAAGGCCUCCCGAGGGUGCUGCUUCCUCAUAUGCCCCUCGAGGGACGAGGCCGACAAGGCCGUGAAUGCGUAUCACAACAAGCACACGCUCCCGGGGGCGGCGAGUCCUUUGCAAGUAAAAUAUGCUGAUGGAGAGUUGGAGAGGCUGGAACACAAGCUUUUCAUUGGAAUGCUUCCAAAAAAUGUAGCAGAUACUGAAUUGACUGAUUUGUUUUCCAAAUAUGGAAAUAUCAAGGAUUUACAAAUUUUGAGAGGUUCACAGCAAACAAGUAAAGCUGGAUGCGCCUUCAUUAAAUAUGAAAUGAAGGAGCAAGCAAUGGCAGCUAUUGAGGAUCUAAAUGGGAAGCACAAAAUAGAGGGUUCUAGUGUGCCGUUGGUUGUCAAAUGGGCUGAUACAGAGAAGGAAAGGCAGGCACGGAAAGCACAGAAAGCUCAACUGCAAUCACCUAAUAUGCCGAAUGGACGCCCAAUGCCACAAUCUUCAGUAUUUGGAGCUUUACAGAUGGGAUAUAUGCCUCAGUAUAAUGGAUUUAGUUAUCAGCCUCCAGGGACCUAUGGACUUAUGCAGUACCCUUUAUCUCCUAUGCAAAAUCAAGGCCCCUUUCAGAAUAUGGGUCAGCCUGUUAACCAAGGGAACUCGAUACGAGGAGUCAACCCUGAACUGUCCCCCAACUCAGGUCCUAGAUCAUUUAACCCAAUGCAUUUAGGCAGCCCGUAUCCAGCAGUACCUGGUAUGCAGUACCCUGGAUCCUACCCUGGUGGUCCGAUGAACAAUCGUCCUUUUGGGAAUCCUCACAAUCCCCUUAAAGUUCCAAGUGCAAAUGUCAAUCUUAUCGCAUUUAGUCCCCGUAGCAAUGGCGGUGGCCAAACACAAACAGAAGGACCUCCUGGAGCCAAUCUGUUUAUCUACCAUAUCCCACAAGAAUUUGGUGACCAGGAACUCUCCGAUGCCUUCCAGAGGUUUGGGAGAGUAAUAAGUGCCAAGGUGUUCGUUGACAAAGCAACUGGUUCCAGCAAAUGCUUCGGUUUUGUAAGCUAUGACAACCCUGUGUCCGCGCAGUCGGCCAUCGCCAUGAUGAACGGUUUCCAGCUAGGCGGCAAGAAACUCAAAGUACAACUCAAGAGAGACAACAACAAGCUCAGUAAACCUUUUUGA